Molecule: ribosomal RNA, 427 nt
Filed under: uncultured Acidobacteriota bacterium
Lineage: Bacteria; Pseudomonadati; Acidobacteriota
Description: bacterial SSU rRNA
Rfam family: Bacterial small subunit ribosomal RNA
Source: RNAcentral
AACGCGAAGAACCUUACCUGGGCUUGAACCGCGCAGGACCAGCGGUGGAAACAUCGCCUUCUCGCAAGAGACCUGCGUAGAGGUGCUGCAUGGCUGUCGUCAGCUCGUGCCGUGAGGUGUUGGGUUAAGUCCCGCAACGAGCGCAACCCUUACUCUUAGUUGCCACCCGCAAGGGGGAACUCUAAGAGGACUGCUCCGGAUAACGGAGAGGAAGGUGGGGAUGAGGUCAAGUCAGCAUGGCCUUUAUGUCCAGGGCUACACACGUGUUACAAUGCGCGCUACAAAGUGUCGCGAACCCGCGAGGGGGAGCUAAUCGCAAAAAAGCGCGCUCAGUUCGGAUUGCAGUCUGCAACUCGACUGCAUGAAGCUGGAAUCGCUAGUAAUGGCGCAUCAGAACGGCGCCGUGAAUACGUUCCCGGGCCUUGUA